CCUACGGGUGGCAGCAGUUAGGAAUCUUGCGCAAUGGACGAAAGUCUGACGCAGCGACGCCGCGUGCGGGAUGAAGGCCCUCGGGUUGUAAACCGCUUUCAGCAGGGACGAAAAUGACGGUACCUGCAGAAGAAGCCCCGGCCAACUACGUGCCAGCAGCCGCGGUAAUACGUAGGGGGCGAGCGUUGUCCGGAUUUAUUGGGCGUAAAGAGCUCGUAGGUGGUUUGGUAAGUCGGAUGUGAAAUCUCCAGGCUCAACCUGGAGGGGUCAUUCGAUACUGCCAUGACUAGAGUUCGGUAGGGGAGUGUGGAAUUCCUGGUGGAGCGGUGAAAUGCGCAGAUAUCAGGAGGAACACCCGUAGCGAAGGCGGCACUCUGGGCCGAUACUGACACUGAGGAGCGAAAGCGUGGGGAGCGAACAGGAUUAGAUACCCUUGUAGUC
Molecule: ribosomal RNA, 441 nt
Filed under: uncultured bacterium
Lineage: Bacteria
Description: bacterial SSU rRNA
Rfam family: Bacterial small subunit ribosomal RNA
Source: RNAcentral